AGAGCAGACUUUUUCUUUGCUCAAAGUCUAAGCAUUGAAGAACUUCUUUUUAGUAGGUAGAUUUUUGUGUUUUUUUGUUUGUUUUUGAGACGGAGUCUCACUCUGUCGCCCAGGCUGUGGUGCAGUGGCACGAUCUCGGCCCACUGCAAGCUCUGCCUCCCGGGUUCACACCAUUCUCCUGCCUCAGCCUCCCAAGUAGCUGGGACUACAGGUGCCAGCCACCACGCCUGGCUAAUUUUUUUGCAUUUUUUAGUAGAGAUGGGGUUUCAUCGUGUUAGCCAGGAUGGUCUUGAUCUCCUGACCUCAUGAUCCACCCGCCUUGGCCUGCCAGAGUGCUGGAAUUACAGGCGUGAUUUAGUAGGUAGUUUUGAGUAGGGAGUAUACAUUUAAAAUGCUGAAACUCAGUUAAGGAAUAAUCUAAUACUGUAUUCAACUGAAACUCAGUUGAGAAAUUUCUUUCCAAUAAUAAAGGAAAAUCAACUGCAGUAAUGAGGGAGAUGAUUUUGCUGCUAAUUACAACAAAUAUUUACUACAGACCUGUUAUGCACCAGGAACUGUGCUAAAUGUUUUAUACAUAUAACUUUAUCUUGUGCUCCAACAACUUAUUACAUAGAAAUUGCUAUUAUUCCCAUUUUCUAGAUUAAUAAAUUGGUUUAGAGGGGUCGUAUAGGUGAAACAACUCACUCAAUAUCACAAGCUGUUAUGUGGUGAAGUUUGCAUGAUCAGUACAGGGUUCUGGUCAUCCCACUCAUUGAGUGGUGCUAGUCAAGAUCUGGAAGCUCUUCUGGUCUUAGUUUCUCUAGCCGUGAAGUGACAAUGAUUAGGUCUAAUCAUAGAACAUGAGAGUACAUGUGAAAAAAUGCCUUUUUAAAGAGUAUGAAAAACUUGAGUUGUAAAAUUUUCUUGUGGAUAAUUUAUUAUUGCUUUUCUUUUUUAGAUAACACUAACAAAGUUGACCUUAGAAUUGGAGUGCCUGGGUUAGAACCCUGCUGGUACCACCUGCUUACUGCAUGCUUCUGAUGUGAGUUCAGGAGAAGACACUGGCAAGGACAGCAAAGAACAGGAGAACACUCUAGCUUCCCUGAUAGCAUUCAAGGUGCUGUCCAAACUGACUGUGAUGGCACCCUCCAGACAGACAGCGAUGCCACAUGUUCAAGAUGGCAGAAUCACUAUCAGCUUCAAUUCCUGAAUGACUGCAGAGCAAAAUUUCUUACCUGCAACAUACACUCUAUUUUCAGCCUCCCUGGACUGUUACAUAAUGAUACAUAAAAAUAUUUCUUGUGUUGAGGCAUCCCAAAUUUGAUUUAUUUGUCAUCACAGUCUAUCCUAUGAAUAUAUUUCUGAUCCAAAUAAUGCUAGAUUCAUGAGAGUUUAUAGUCCAGAGAUUUUUUUUUUUUUUUUGAGACAGAAUCUGUCUCCCAGGCUGGGGUGCAGUGGCAUAAUCUUAGCUCACUGCAACCUCUGCCUCCCGGGCUCAAGUGAUCCUCCCUCCUUAGCCUCCAUGAGUAGCUGGGACCACAGGUGUGCACCACCACACCCCGCUAAUUAUUUUGUAUUUUUUGCAGAGGGGGGUUUCACCACAUUGCCCAAGCUGGUCUCAAACUCCUAGACUUAAGGGAUCUGCCUGCCUUGGCCUCCCAAAAUGCUGAAAUUACACUUGUUAGCCAUAGUAAUAGUUCCUAGCCAUAGUCCGGAGAUAUUUUAAAAACUUUAGUGUGAGUUAUUUCUCUUUGCUAUAAUUCUCUCAUGCAUUUUGAAAACCUUUUCUGCCAUACAGUGGUUUUUGGGAAGUCCUUUUGGACAGACAUAUCACAGGAUGGAGAAACUAAAAAGAGAGAAUGCAUUAAAGAAAAAA
Long non-coding RNA from Homo sapiens (human), 1855 nucleotides. Ensembl annotates it as cancer susceptibility 19. Its record names the gene CASC19. NCBI's taxonomy places the organism in Eukaryota, Metazoa, Chordata, Mammalia, Primates, Hominidae. The record is from Ensembl.